ACUCAACUAAUUCAGUAUAAUCACAUAGAAUCAGAACUUUUCAACAAUCCCAUCAAAAUCAGAAAACACCAAUAUCAAUUACAGCUUCAAACUAAAGCAAAUCUCAUCAAUUAAUUACUCACGACAACGAAACCAGUCAAUAUCACAGCCAUAACCCAAACUCAAUUCACAUUCGCAUCCAACUUCAAUCAUAACUCAGAAUAAUCACCACAACUAACUCUUCUCAAAUACAUUUCAUUCAAUGAUUAACUCUCCAUAUCU
This 261-nucleotide long non-coding RNA is filed under the name Arachis ipaensis. RNAcentral's name for it is "long non-coding RNA (AIPA_LNC001232)". The record is from RNAcentral. Lineage: Eukaryota; Viridiplantae; Streptophyta; Magnoliopsida; Fabales; Fabaceae.